GACUAAAGACCCAAAGGCAGCAGCUGAAGCUAUUGACAAUGUGAUAGUCCCAGACUUUGAGCCAAGAAAAGAUGCAAAGAUUGUGACAGAUGAGAAAGCCACCACUUUAACCACUGCUUCGGUGGACGACGCUGCAGUCAUCAACGACCUCAUUGCUAAGCUCGAGAAGUGUAGGCAUAACUUGUCUCCAGAUUUCAGGAUGAAACCAAUUCAAUUCGAAAAGGUAAAUAUUCUCUGAUGCUAUUCUCACUGAAUGAAAUCUAAUUGAUAACAAAGGUUGAAUCUUAACCAAGGAGUGUUGUUAUUUUGAAUCAUAUUGUGUGUUUGUAGGAUGAUGAUACAAACUAUCACAUGGAUGUGAUAGCGGGUCUAGCCAACAUGAGGGCGAGGAACUACAGCAUACCUGAAGUCGACAAGCUGAAAGCAAAGUUCAUUGCAGGGAGAAUCAUCCCAGCCAUUGCGACCUCAACAGCCAUGGCCACUGGUCUGGUCUGCCUCGAGCUCUACAAGGUCCUCAAGACCCAAAGGCAGCAGCUGAAGCUAUUGACAAUGUGAUAGUCCCAGACUUUGAGCCAAGAAAAGAUGCAAAGAUUGUGACAGAUGAGAAAGCCACCACUUUAACCACUGCUUCGGUGGACGACGCUGCAGUCAUCAACGACCUCAUUGCUAAGCUCGAGAAGUGUAGGCAUAACUUGUCUCCAGAUUUCAGGAUGAAACCAAUUCAAUUCGAAAAGGUAAAUAUUCUCUGAUGCUAUUCUCACUGAAUGAAAUCUAAUUGAUA
RNAcentral lists this long non-coding RNA (781 nucleotides) under Brassica napus (rape). Its description in RNAcentral is "long non-coding RNA (BNAP_LNC004141)". Lineage: Eukaryota; Viridiplantae; Streptophyta; Magnoliopsida; Brassicales; Brassicaceae. The record is from RNAcentral.